UACGUAGGGGGCAAGCGUUGUCCGGAAUUAUUGGGCGUAAAGAGCGCGUAGGCGGUCCGAUAAGUCGGCUGUGAAAGUCAGGGGCUCAACCCUUGGAAGCCGGCCGAUACUGUCGGACUAGAGUCCGGAAGAGGCGAGUGGAAUUCCCGGUGUAGCGGUGAAAUGCGCAGAUAUCGAGAGGAACACCGGUGGCGAAGGCGGCCUUCUGGACAGUGACUGACGCUGAGACGCGAAAGCGUGGGGAGCAAACAGG
Molecule: ribosomal RNA, 253 nt
Filed under: uncultured bacterium
Lineage: Bacteria
Description: partial 16S ribosomal RNA
Rfam family: Bacterial small subunit ribosomal RNA
Source: RNAcentral